This 120-nucleotide ribosomal RNA is filed under the name Clostridiales bacterium. Its description in RNAcentral is "partial 23S ribosomal RNA". It matches the Rfam family "Bacterial large subunit ribosomal RNA", at positions 2810 to 2925 of the family's 2925-position model. Lineage: Bacteria; Bacillati; Bacillota; Clostridia; Eubacteriales. The record is from RNAcentral.
UAUCCCAUAGCAUAAGCUAGUAAGGACCCUUGUAGACAACAAGGUUGAUAGGUUGGGUGUGGAAGCGCAGUAAUGUGUGUAGCUGACCAAUACUAAUAGUCCGAGGGCUUGAUCACAUAA